GAAUGUUAUUUUUCUGUUAUUCGAUGGGUAGUAAUAGGACUGUAUAUGGUUCUGAUAGUAGUGCGUUAUAUUGAUUUCAAGGUUGCACUGUGGGAUUUAGAACCCUGUGUUAUACCGGGAACUAGGCGUUAAUUUUCAUAUUAGGCUAAAAACAAGAUAUAUUAGAUAAUUUGAUCUGUCACAGAUAUGUAUUGUGAAUAGAAUAAUGAAUACUUGCCAGUAUGGUUUCUGCUUCUCAGAUCCGCAAUAACAAAAUUAUGAAAAUGUACACUACAUUAUAACAAUGAAACUUCCUUAAUGAAGCUUGAAAAAGACAACAUUGUAUACCCUGCGCAAAUGUUUGCUUCAAUGCAGUUUUCAUAAAUAUCGUGAAAUCAGACAUCAGUGUAGCGGCACUACAGAAGCAUCAGAUUCCACCCGUCUAUUUUGACCUCCGCCACACCAGUACGGCGGAAACUGCUAGUUCCAACGAAUACAAUAUGGCAACAUGACGUCACUACCUACAAACGCGAGCAAAAAUAAAAAUGAGAAUGUCUCGCUCCAAAAGUAAAAUGAAACUAACGGGACAACCGCGGAAGAUAGGGGUUUAGGGCGGGGACAAGCUAAAUAUACAAGAAUAAAGAAACACUGAACCACCCUAAAAUAAAUAAUGUAACAAAUUACGUUAACAACUUUGCGCCAUAUCAAGAAAACCAUAGGAAUCGGACGUUUCUCUUUAUCUGUAUAGCUCAGCCGCAACUAUCGAUACCAAAAACCCCAACAUCUAAAAGCCUGAAAAGUGGAAUCUGGCAUUUCCCUUGACCUGUAUAGAUCAACUGCAACAAUUGAUACCAAAACCCAACACCUACAUAUCAGAAAAGUGGAACCAAAACCCCAACACUCAAAAACCCAAAUACUACAUAUUCAUUACAUGAAUUAAAACACAACUGACCUAUCAUAAAUGUACAGCAGACAAAACACCACAUUUACUGUAGAAUUCUUUCUGCACAACAAACACGAACGAAUCAGAGCAAACAAAAACGUCAAACAUAUAAGCAAAAGAAGGGGAAAAAAAGAAACUGUAGCAACUUGCUGAAAACAUUUCCACAACCCACAUUACUUCACUAACUACCUAAACUCAAAACCAUGUUAGCGCAAUGAUUACCAAACUCAAAUGAACCCAGUACCAUAUUAAACUCAGCAUGUCCACAUCCACCGUAAAGUACACCACCACCACCACCACCACCCUACAAACAUAACCAACUCAAAACCAAGUCAUAGUGGCGUCACACACCUCAUCAUCUUUACGGCACGGGACAAACCAGAUGGGUGGAAUCAGAUGCUUCUAUUGACCCUAGCAGAUCACCAGAUGAAAAUAAUCCUUUUGACCUUUAGCAAGAGUUCAAGCCUCAUAAAAAUCAGAAAUGUGUUGACAGGUUAGUUGAACAUACGAACACAAAAUACUGUCAUUGAGCCAGGAUGUAAUAAUGUUAUAGUGUGUGACAUCAUGUGUGUGCUAAUUAGAAGAGAAUAUUAUUUUUUGGAAUACUGGUUGUGGUUACAGGCUGAUAUGUUGCAUAGCCCAAGUUCUAGGUUAGGUUGAGAGUUGACAGUUUCAUUGUGAGCUGCAGGAAUAUCAAAAUUCUGUUCUGACAAUGAACACAAGAAGUAUACUAAAGCUAAAAGACCAAGAUUCUACAGGUUGAGAUGGGAUACUCAUAAAGGCAGCAUGGGAUUCCCCCUGGCUAGUAACUCCCUAUCUUCAGGUUUUCGCAUGAUCCAUGAGCUCAUUGUACCUAAGGAUGUCCCAUUUAUGGAGACGCACCAUCAAAAUUUAUGUUGGGCAAUGGUCAGGAGCUCCCUCCUGUGUUGGCAAUAAACCAAGUGAAGUGAUCACAGUGUCACUGUUGAAAAUUGGUUUUCUGAUAUGGAUAUCAUAAAUUAUUUGAAAGCUAAGAAUUUGUUGUAUGUUGGAACUCUCAGAAAAAAUAAGAUGCAAUUGACAUCAGAUUUUAUGGAUGUAAAAGAGUAGGAACAAUACAGAAGUAUGUUUUGCUUCAGUAAUGGGAAGUUUGAUUUUUGCCCAUACCGUGAGAGAACAGGAAUGUGAUUCUUGUAGCUUUGCUUGAUAAGGUGAUGCUGUGGAUCCCAGAUCUGGAGAGAAAAGGAAGCCAGAGAUAGUCAUUUUCUAAAA
Schistocerca americana (American grasshopper) is the source of this 2173-nucleotide long non-coding RNA. RefSeq lists it as uncharacterized. The record is from RefSeq and is a predicted model, not a curated record. NCBI's taxonomy places the organism in Eukaryota, Metazoa, Arthropoda, Insecta, Orthoptera, Acrididae. The transcript has 3 exons.